AUUUAAAUAGCUUAUAAAGAGUAUAAUAUUGAAGAUAUUAGGGAGAUUUUUUUAAUCUUUAAAUA
RNAcentral lists this transfer RNA (65 nucleotides) under Leucophlebia lineata. Its description in RNAcentral is "tRNA-Phe". The record is from RNAcentral. Lineage: Eukaryota; Metazoa; Arthropoda; Insecta; Lepidoptera; Sphingidae.